Molecule: ribosomal RNA, 212 nt
Filed under: Pneumocystis wakefieldiae
Lineage: Eukaryota; Fungi; Ascomycota; Pneumocystomycetes; Pneumocystales; Pneumocystaceae
Description: partial large subunit ribosomal RNA
Rfam family: Bacterial large subunit ribosomal RNA
Source: RNAcentral
CAAAUCGGACUAGGAUAUAGCUGGUUUUCUGCGAAAUCUAUUUAGGUAGAUAGCUUAAUAAGGAUGUUUAUUAGUGGGUAUAGCACUGAAUAUCUAAUAUUAUUUGAAGGGAGUAUGAAAGUACUUACUUUGGAUAUUUAAUCUCAGAAUAACUAAUAGACGAAAGAUGAUUAAGUUGUCAGACUUUUUGCGAUAAGGUGGGAAGUCAAGAG